RNAcentral lists this ribosomal RNA (292 nucleotides) under uncultured bacterium. RNAcentral's name for it is "partial 16S ribosomal RNA". It matches the Rfam family "Bacterial small subunit ribosomal RNA", at positions 505 to 796 of the family's 1533-position model. The record is from RNAcentral.
GUGCCAGCAGCCGCGGUAAUACGUAGGGUGCGAGCGUUAAUCGGAAUUACUGGGCGUAAAGCGUGCGCAGGCGGUUCGUUGUGUCUGCUGUGAAAUCCCCGGGCUCAACCUGGGAAUGGCAGUGGAAACUGGCGAGCUUGAGUGUGGCAGAGGGGGGUGGAAUUCCGCGUGUAGCAGUGAAAUGCGUAGAGAUGCGGAGGAACACCGAUGGCGAAGGCAACCCCCUGGGCUAACACUGACGCUCAGGCACGAAAGCGUGGGGAGCAAACAGGAUUAGAUACCCGGGUAGUCC